Molecule: long non-coding RNA, 937 nt
Organism: Capsicum annuum
Lineage: Eukaryota; Viridiplantae; Streptophyta; Magnoliopsida; Solanales; Solanaceae
Exons: 3
Source: RefSeq, a predicted model, not a curated record
AAAGUUUCCAUUUUUUUAUGCAAGAAAAGAUCAAGAUAGAAAGAAAAUACUACUACAAUUACUUCUCCAUUUUGUGCACUUUGGUUAUAUUUUAGAUAAUUUUAUAUCAAGUUGUAUAUUUUUGUUAUUUUUUCUUCUUCUUCUUUUUUGUUAUGGCCAAACACCUAUAACAAAGUCUCCUUGAUGCACUUGAGAGUAGGCGCCCACUUUUUGGCCUAAUGCUUUUUGAAUUUCCAAAUCCCAAUCCUUUGUGUCUCCGUCUCUCUCCGGUUGGGUUUCAAAUCAAACAACAAAAGUUAAAAAUGCUCAAUUACACCCACUUCACUCUCCCAUCCAAUCUUCUCUCUUUCUCUUUUUGCACGUUCCCAUCUUCUUAAAAUCCAAAUCUGUCAUUCAUAAAAAUUGCACAUUUUACCCAUCCAACAAUUAUAGAAUAAACUCCGAAGAUUCGAUAAAGACCCUUUUGGCUUCUACUGGCGGUGAUACCGUUAAGCUAUUUGACCUCUCUCUAGAAUCCCGUGAUCCCUGCAUUCUUAGCUACACUCCUUCCCCCGGCUUUCAAGUCAACUCCGUCAAGUGGAACCACGCUAAUUCGGUGGUGGCAAGCGCUGUAGCUGACAAGAAGAUAUCAUUGUGGAGGAAAAAUGGAUAGAGUUUGGGGACUGUACCAAUGGGCGGCACUGAUGGUGCUGAUAAUAUCGAGAUAGAAAUCUGGUGUCUAAGUGGAGAAGGAAGAUGGUGGGCCCAUUAUCUACCAAGUUUUGAACCAUUCACCACGGACCCUUGUGGAAUCGAAAAAAUGUUGAUUUUAAUAAAUUAUGCAUGUACCAUCUAAUUCAAUCUUUGAUAGCCAUGUAUCAUCUAAUACACUGAUAGUGUCAUGUAGAUUGGUGGACGUUGCACUGAUUAGUGGAUAUUGCACUCAAAUAUUCUUCAA